GUUACUCUGUUCUUUUGGACUUAAUACACUAGAUGCAUGCUGGAUAGCGGUCGACGUGUGGAGUAAUAGUAGUAGAUGUAGAAAGUAUCGGUCUACUUGUUUUGGAUGUGAUGCCUAUAGAUAUAAUCAUUGCCUUAGAUAACGUCAUGACUUUGCGCGGUUCUAUUAAUUGCUCGACAGUAAUUCGUUCACCCACCGUCUACUUGCUUUCAUGAGAGAAGCCACUAGUGAACA
Molecule: long non-coding RNA, 234 nt
Filed under: Hordeum vulgare
Lineage: Eukaryota; Viridiplantae; Streptophyta; Magnoliopsida; Poales; Poaceae
Description: long non-coding RNA (HVUL_LNC021491)
Source: RNAcentral